Molecule: non-coding RNA, 90 nt
Filed under: Algibacter lectus
Lineage: Bacteria; Pseudomonadati; Bacteroidota; Flavobacteriia; Flavobacteriales; Flavobacteriaceae
Source: RNAcentral
AUAUACGCGCAAGGGAUUGAACGGUUUGUUUGAAAUCCUGCUUGUUUUCCUGAAAAACAAGCAGAUUGAGUAGUGAAAGCCCGACCCUUU